AACGAACGCUGGCGGCAUGCCUAACACAUGCAAGUCGAACGAGACCUUCGGGUCUAGUGGCGCACGGGUGCGUAACGCGUGGGAACCUGCCCUUAGGUUCGGAAUAACUCCCCGAAAGGGGGUGCUAAUACCGGAUAAUGUCUUCGGACCAAAGAUUUAUUGCCUUUGGAUGGGCCCGCGUUGGAUUAGCUAGUUGGUAGGGUAAAAGCCUACCAAGGCGACGAUCCAUAGCUGGUCUGAGAGGAUGAUCAGCCACACUGGGACUGAGACACGGCCCAGACUCCUACGGGAGGCAGCAGUGGGGAAUAUUGGACAAUGGGCGAAAGCCUGAUCCAGCAAUGCCGCGUGAGUGAUGAAGGCCUUAGGGUUGUAAAGCUCUUUUACCCGGGAUGAUAAUGACAGUACCGGGAGAAUAAGCUCCGGCUAACUCCGUG
RNAcentral lists this ribosomal RNA (434 nucleotides) under uncultured bacterium. RNAcentral describes it as "partial 16S ribosomal RNA". It matches the Rfam family "Bacterial small subunit ribosomal RNA", at positions 29 to 507 of the family's 1533-position model. The record is from RNAcentral.